GUGCUCCCUUGAGCAGCACAUAUACUAAAAUUGGAACAAUACAGAGGAGAUUAGCAUGGCAAUUUGAUUUAUAAAAUCCUUUAAAAUAAAUAAUUAAUU
This is a small nuclear RNA of Macaca fascicularis (crab-eating macaque), 99 nucleotides long. The record is from Ensembl. Lineage: Eukaryota; Metazoa; Chordata; Mammalia; Primates; Cercopithecidae.